RNAcentral lists this small RNA (19 nucleotides) under Arabidopsis thaliana (thale cress). Its description in RNAcentral is "ATSL104650". The record is from RNAcentral. Lineage: Eukaryota; Viridiplantae; Streptophyta; Magnoliopsida; Brassicales; Brassicaceae.
UACAUCAUCCUCUCUUUCU